RNAcentral lists this ribosomal RNA (1444 nucleotides) under uncultured organism. RNAcentral describes it as "partial small subunit ribosomal RNA". It matches the Rfam family "Bacterial small subunit ribosomal RNA". The record is from RNAcentral.
AACGCUGGCGGCGUGCUUAACACAUGCAAGUCGAACGGAAAGGCCCUGCUUUUGUGGGGUGCUCGAGUGGCGAACGGGUGAGUAACACGUGAGUAACCUGCCCUUGACUUUGGGAUAACUUCAGGAAACUGGGGCUAAUACCGGAUAGGAGCUCCUGCUGCAUGGUGGGGGGUUGGAAAGUUUCGGCGGUUGGGGAUGGACUCGCGGCUUAUCAGCUUGUUGGUGGGGUAGUGGCUUACCAAGGCUUUGACGGGUAGCCGGCCUGAGAGGGUGACCGGCCACAUUGGGACUGAGAUACGGCCUAGACUCCUACGGGAGGCAGCAGUGGGGAAUAUUGCACAAUGGGCGGAAGCCUGAUGCAGCAACGCCGCGUGCGGGAUGACGGCCUUCGGGUUGUAAACCGCUUUCGCCUGUGACGAAGCGUGAGUGACGGUAAUGGGUAAAGAAGCACCGGCUAACUACGUGCCAGCAGCCGCGGUGAUACGUAGGGUGCGAGCGUUGUCCGGAUUUAUUGGGCGUAAAGGGCUCGUAGGUGGUUGAUCGCGUCGGAAGUGUAAUCUUGGGGCUUAACCCUGAGCGUGCUUUCGAUACGGGUUGACUUGAGGAAGGUAGGGGAGAAUGGAAUUCCUGGUGGAGCGGUGGAAUGCGCAGAUAUCAGGAGGAACACCAGUGGCGAAGGCGGUUCUCUGGGCCUUUCCUGACGCUGAGGAGCGAAAGCGUGGGGAGCGAACAGGCUUAGAUACCCUGGUAGUCCACGCUGUAAACGGUGGGUACUAGGUGUGGGGUCCAUUCCACGGAUUCCGUGCCGUAGCUAACGCUUUAAGUACCCCGCCUGGGGAGUACGGCCGCAAGGCUAAAACUCAAAGGAAUUGUCGGGGCCCCGCACAAGCGGCGGAGCAUGCGGAUUAAUUCGAUGCAACGCGUAGAACCUUACCUGGGUUUGACAUGGAUCGGGAGUGCUCAGAGAUGGGUGUGCCUCUUUUGGGGUCGGUUCACAGGUGGUGCAUGGCUGUCGUCAGCUCGUGUCGUGAGAUGUUGGGUUAAGUCCCGCAACGAGCGCAACCCUUGUUCACUGUUGCCAGCACGUUAUGGUGGGGACUCAGUGGAGACCGCCGGGGUCAACUCGGAGGAAGGUGGGGAUGACGUCAAGUCAUCAUGCCCCUUAUGUCCAGGGCUUCACGCAUGCUACAAUGGCUGGUACAGAGAGUGGCGAGCCUGUGAGGGUGAGCGAAUCUCGGAAAGCCGGUCUCAGUUCGGAUUGGGGUCUGCAACUCGACCUCAUGAAGUCGGAGUCGCUAGUAAUCGCAGAUCAGCAACGCUGCGGUGAAUACGUUCCCGGGGCUUGUACACACCGCCCGUCAAGUCAUGAAAGUUGGUAACACCCGAAGCCGGUGGCCUAACCGUUGUGGGGGAGCCGUCGAAGGUGGGACUGGUGAUUAGGACU